RNAcentral lists this ribosomal RNA (595 nucleotides) under uncultured Bacteroidota bacterium. RNAcentral describes it as "bacterial SSU rRNA". It matches the Rfam family "Bacterial small subunit ribosomal RNA", at positions 122 to 715 of the family's 1533-position model. Lineage: Bacteria; Pseudomonadati; Bacteroidota. The record is from RNAcentral.
CAACCUGCCCACCACUUGGGGAUAACCUUGCGAAAGUAAGACUAAUACCCAAUGAUAUCUCUAGAAGACAUCUGAAAGAGAUUAAAGAUUUAUCGGUGAUGGAUGGGGAUGCGUCUGAUUAGCUUGUUGGCGGGGUAACGGCCCACCAAGGCAACGAUCAGUAGGGGUUCUGAGAGGAAGGUCCCCCACAUUGGAACUGAGACACGGUCCAAACUCCCACGGGAGGCAGCAGUGAGGAAUAUUGGUCAAUGGACGAGAGUCUGAACCAGCCAAGUAGCGUGCAGGAUGACGGCCCUAUGGGUUGUAAACUGCUUUUAUAAGGGAAUAAAGUGAGUCUCGUGAGACUUUUUGCAUGUACCUUAUGAAUAAGGACCGGCUAAUUCCGUGCCAGCAGCCGCGGUAAUACGGAAGGUCCGGGUGUUAUCCGGAUUUAUUGGGUUUAAAGGGAGCGUAGGCCGGAGAUUAAGCGUGUUGUGAAAUGUAGACGCUCAACGUCUGCAAUGCAGCGCGAACUGGUUUCCUUGAGUACGCACAAAGUGGGCGGAAUUCGUGGUGUAGCGGUGAAAUGCUUAGAUAUCACGAAGAACUCCGAUUG